CAGUGGGGUAACGUCAGUGAGGAUAUUUAUAUUAUUUGAAUUAUUAAUUGAUAACAUGUCAACUUUUGUGUGCGUGUGUGUGUGUGUGUGUGUUGGUGGAGGAGCAGAGGCAGGUGGCGCUUGGGAGGGUGAGCGGCUGACAGCAGUGUUUCGGUGUUUUCCUCAGUCUUGCCCCACACAAUCUAGUGAUAAGUAUUUCCGUAUUCCCGGCUGCUUCUCCUUGUACCAAGCACCGCCAUGCAACACCAGAGAUUCAUGAGUAUGUAAGGAUGGAUAGCUUAGGAUACCACACGGAGGGAGGUUAAGGAGCCUUGGGGAUGCCUGAAGGAGGAAAAGUGAAGGAGGGAGGCCUGGAGGUGAACGAAAUGCAGAAAAUUCCUUCAAUACGGAACGCUUCUCUGCUCAGACCAUCCUUCACUGAAUAUAUGGACCGAGGCCUCGAGAUACGAGGAUGGAGAGCUUAGGAUACCACACGGGGGGGGGUGAAGGAGCCUUGGGGAUGCCUGAAGGAUAUAAAGUGAAGGAGGGAGGCCUGGAGAUGAACGAAAUGCAGAAAAUUUCUUCAAUACGGAAUGCUUCUCUGGUCAGACCAUCCUUCACUGAAUAUAAGAACAUAAGAAAUAAGGGAAGUUGCAAGAAGCGACCAGGCUUACACGUGGCAGUCCCUGUAUGAAACACACCUACCUAUUUCCAUCUUUUAUCCCCAUCCAUAAACUUGUCUAAUCUUCUCUUAAAGCUCUCUAGUCUCCUAGCACUAACUACAUGAUUACUGAGUCCGUUCCACUCAUCUACCACUCUAUUUGAGAAACAAUUUUUUCCUAUCUCCUUCCUAAACCUAAAUUUUUUAAGCUUGAACCCGUUAUUUCUUGUUCUACCCUGGUUGCUGAUCCUAAGACUUUUGCUUACAUCUCCAUUGUUAUAACCCUUAUACCACUUAAAGACU
Scylla paramamosain (green mud crab) is the source of this 943-nucleotide long non-coding RNA. RefSeq lists it as uncharacterized. The record is from RefSeq and is a predicted model, not a curated record. NCBI's taxonomy places the organism in Eukaryota, Metazoa, Arthropoda, Malacostraca, Decapoda, Portunidae. The transcript is spliced from 3 exons.